Molecule: ribosomal RNA, 468 nt
Filed under: uncultured bacterium
Lineage: Bacteria
Description: partial 16S ribosomal RNA
Rfam family: Bacterial small subunit ribosomal RNA
Source: RNAcentral
GACGAACGCUGGCGGCGUGCUUAACACAUGCAAGUCGAACGGAAAGGCCCUGCUUUUGUGGGGUGCUCGAGUGGCGAACGGGUGGGUAACACGUGAGUAACCUGCCCUUGACUUUGGGAUAACUUCAGGAAACUGGGGCUAAUACCGGAUAGGAGCUCCUGCUGCAUGGUGGGGGUUGGAAAGUUUCGGCGGUUGGGGAUGGACUCGCGGCUUAUCAGCUUGUUGGUGGGGUAGUGGCUUACCAAGGCUUUGACGGGUAGCCGGCCUGAGAGGGUGACCGGCCACAUUGGGACUGAGAUACGGUCCAGACUCCUACGGGAGGCAGCAGUGGGGAAUAUUGCACAAUGGGCGGAAGCCUGAUGCAGCAACGCCGCGUGCGGGAUGACGGCCUUCGGGUUGUAAACCGCUUUCGCCUGUGACGAAGCGUGAGUGACGGUAAUGGGUAAAGAAGCACCGGCUAACUACGUG